This 1466-nucleotide ribosomal RNA is filed under the name metagenome. RNAcentral's name for it is "bacterial SSU rRNA". It matches the Rfam family "Bacterial small subunit ribosomal RNA". The record is from RNAcentral.
AGAGUUUGAUCCUGGCUCAGGAUGAACGCUGGCGGCGUGCCUAAUACAUGCAAGUCGAACGAGAAACUUCUGGUACUUGUAUCGGUUGUUUUCUAGUGGCGAACGGGUGAGUAACGCGUUGGUGACCUACCCCAAAGUGGGGGAUAACAGAUCGAAAGAUCUGCUAAUACCCCAUGUUGUCAUCGUUUUUAGAGAUCGAUGAUUAAAGGAGCAAUUCGCUUUGGGAGGGGCCUGCGUCCCAUCAGCUAGUUGGUAAGGUAAUGGCUUACCAAGGCUAUGACGGGUAAGGGACCUGAGAGGGUGGCCCCUCACAAUGGAACUGAAACACGGUCCAUACACCUACGGGUGGCAGCAGUAGGGAAUAUUGCACAAUGGACGAAAGUCUGAUGCAGCAACGCCGCGUGUACGAUGAAGGUCUUCGGAUUGUAAAGUACUUUUCAGGGAGAUGAGAAAGGACAGUACCCCUGGAAUAAGUCUCGGCUAACUACGUGCCAGCAGCCGCGGUAACACGUAGGAGGCGAGCGUUAUCCGGAUUUACUGGGUGUAAAGCGCGUGCAGGCGGUUUGAUAAGUUGGAUGUGAAAGCUCCUGGCUUAACUGGGAGAGGUCGUUCAAAACUAUCAGACUAGAGAAUGGUAGAGGAAGAUGGAAUUCCCGGUGUUGGUGAAAUGCGUAGAUAUCGGGAGGAACACCAGUGGCGAAGGCGGUCUUCUGGCCCAUUUCUGACGCUAAGACGCGAAGGCUAGGGUAGCAAACGGGAUUAGAGACCCCGGUAGUCCUAGCAGUAAACGAUGUGAACUUGGCGUUGGUGGUGUAAAAACCAUCAGUGCCGUAGCUAACGCGAUAAGUUCACCACCUGGGAACUACGGCCGCAAGGUUAAAACUCAAAGGAAUUGACGGGUCCCCGCACAAGCAGCGGAGCGUGUGGUUUAAUUCGUUUACACGAAGAACCUUACCCGGGUUUGACAUGCAAGUGGUAGUGAAGCGAAAGCGGAACGACCCUUCGGGGAGCUUGCACAGGUGCUGCAUGGCUGUCGUCAGCUCGUGUCGUGAGAUGUCCGGUUAGGUCCGGUAACGAGCGCAACCCUCGCUGUAUGUUAUAAGUGUCAUACGGGACCGCCGGUAUCAAGCCGGAGGAAGGUGGGGAUGACGUCAAGUCAGCAUGGCCUUUAUAUCCGGGGCUACACACACGCUACAAUGGCCGGUACAAUAGGUUGCGAAACCGCGAGGUGGAGCCAAUCCUUCAAAACCGGUCUCAGUUCAGAUCGCAGGCUGCAACUCGCCUGCGUGAAGUCGGAGUUGCUAGUAAACACGCGUCAGCUAUAGUGCGUUGAAUACGUUCCCGGGGAUUGUACACACCGCCCGUCGCGUCAUGGGAGCUGGCAACACCUAAAGCCGGUAGCCUAACCGCAAGGAGGGCGCUGUCUAAGGUGGGGUUGGUGACUGGGACGAAGUCGUAACAAGGUA